Molecule: non-coding RNA, 30 nt
Filed under: Rattus norvegicus (Norway rat)
Lineage: Eukaryota; Metazoa; Chordata; Mammalia; Rodentia; Muridae
Source: RNAcentral
UGCAAUAAGGCAAAGCACAGAUCCUCAAAU